RNAcentral lists this ribosomal RNA (526 nucleotides) under Pleosporales sp. A105. Its description in RNAcentral is "eukaryotic LSU rRNA". The stretch from base 119 to 272 matches the Rfam family "5.8S ribosomal RNA". Lineage: Eukaryota; Fungi; Ascomycota; Dothideomycetes; Pleosporales. The record is from RNAcentral.
GCUCCUCACCUUGUCUACUGCACCGUUUGUUGCUUCCUGGCGGGGGACUGCCCCCCGCCAGGGACUGCGUAAACCCAUGUAUGAGCAUUGAAGACCUGAAAACAAACCAAAAUCGUACAACUUUCAACAAUGGAUCUCUUGGUUCUGGCAUCGAUGAAGAACGCAGCGAAAUGCGAUAAGUAGUGUGAAUUGCAUAAUUCAGUGAAUCAUCCAAUCUUUGAACGCACAUUGCGCCCCUUGGUAUUCCAUGGGGCAUGCCUGUUCGAGCGUCAUCUGAACGAUCAAGCCCCCCGGGUGAUGUCCCGCCUCGCGCGCGGACCCCACUCCGGCUUGGUGUUGGGUGCCUGUCCCCCGCCCCUCGGCGCAAGACUCACCCCACAUGCAUUGGCAGCAGCCUCUCGGCUUCUCGCGCAGCACAUUGCGCAGCGGAGCGAGGCGAGGCGUGCGUCCAGCAAGCAACCCCCCAAGUUUGACCUCGGAUCAGGUAGGGAUACCCGCUGAACUUAAGCAUAUCAAUAAGCGGAGG